Dreissena polymorpha is the source of this 339-nucleotide long non-coding RNA. RefSeq lists it as uncharacterized. NCBI's taxonomy places the organism in Eukaryota, Metazoa, Mollusca, Bivalvia, Myida, Dreissenidae. The record is from RefSeq and is a predicted model, not a curated record. The transcript has 2 exons.
AUAAGGACUAACCUGAUGACCCCUUAACCUCAUCCCUCCCAUGCUGCGGAACAGGCCUACAAUGACCAUCUAUGUAGAGGAUAUCUGCAUGCCACUGGUGGAUGUUGGCCUUUCAAGUCCAAUAAGUGCUGUGAAAUAUCAACUGUGUACAUGCCCCUGCAUAACCUGUGUCUGGAUUCAAACGUUCCACUGAUAGAGGAAUUGGUUGGAAAUGAGAUGGAACCGGAAGUUAUGAACAACACACCAGUACAUCGAGCAGCAUGUGAUAAGAGGCAGCAGCUGAUCAAACUGUUUCAUAAAAUGUGUUAAAAAUUUAUAGUUAUAAAUGUUAUAAAGUGA